This 72-nucleotide transfer RNA is filed under the name Acidimicrobiales bacterium. Its description in RNAcentral is "tRNA-Arg". It matches the Rfam family "tRNA". Rfam says of the family: Transfer RNA (tRNA) molecules are approximately 80 nucleotides in length. The record is from RNAcentral. Lineage: Bacteria; Bacillati; Actinomycetota; Acidimicrobiia; Acidimicrobiales.
GCCCUCUUAGCUCAGCGGAUAGAGCAUCGGCCUCCGGAGCCGUGUGCGCAGGUUCGAGUCCUGCAGAGGGCG